This 383-nucleotide long non-coding RNA is filed under the name Oryza brachyantha (malo sina). RNAcentral's name for it is "long non-coding RNA (OBRA_LNC003542)". Lineage: Eukaryota; Viridiplantae; Streptophyta; Magnoliopsida; Poales; Poaceae. The record is from RNAcentral.
GAACUUGAGACUUUUUCCAGUAUCUUUAUCCAGCAGCAGGACCUUCACUACUUUCCCCUUUCCCAAGUAAAGCUAGUGUUAAGAGACUGGAUUGUAGAAGUGUUGACUGACUUGACUGGAAAUAUAAUAUGGAAAGACUGAUGGACUGACUGAAGUGGCUAUUGACUUAAGUGGCUAUUUCCUGAUUCCGAUAUGGCGUCCUGAAUCCGAUAUUGCUUGAUUGUCUGUUGAUGCCCAGCUGAAGAAGUGACUUGCUUAACGCAGCAAUUUCUGUUUUCUUGUGUGAAUGCUCUCCACCUCCGCUUGACACUCUCGUAGUAGAUCAUAAGAGAAGUAUUCUUUCAAUAAAUUCGUAUAGAAAGAUGGACUAGCUCGAGAACAAG